This 465-nucleotide ribosomal RNA is filed under the name Vreelandella stevensii. Its description in RNAcentral is "partial 16S ribosomal RNA". It matches the Rfam family "Bacterial small subunit ribosomal RNA", at positions 338 to 795 of the family's 1533-position model. The record is from RNAcentral. Lineage: Bacteria; Pseudomonadati; Pseudomonadota; Gammaproteobacteria; Oceanospirillales; Halomonadaceae.
CCUACGGGGGGCAGCAGUGGGGAAUAUUGGACAAUGGGGGGAACCCUGAUCCAGCCAUGCCGCGUGUGUGAAGAAGGCCCUCGGGUUGUAAAGCACUUUCAGUGAGGAAGAACGCCUGGUGGUUAAUACCCAUCAGGAAAGACAUCACUCACAGAAGAAGCACCGGCUAACUCCGUGCCAGCAGCCGCGGUAAUACGGGGGGUGCGAGCGUUAAUCGGAAUUACUGGGCGUAAAGCGCGCGUAGGUGGCUUGAUAAGCCGGUUGUGAAAGCCCCGGGCUCAACCUGGGAACGGCAUCCGGAACUGUCAAGCUAGAGUGCAGGAGAGGAAGGUAGAAUUCCCGGUGUAGCGGUGAAAUGCGUAGAGAUCGGGAGGAAUACCAGUGGCGAAGGCGGCCUUCUGGACUGACACUGACACUGAGGUGCGAAAGCGUGGGUAGCAAACAGGAUUAGAUACCCUUGUAGUC